This is a long non-coding RNA of Sycon ciliatum, 581 nucleotides long. RefSeq lists it as uncharacterized. The transcript has 3 exons. Lineage: Eukaryota; Metazoa; Porifera; Calcarea; Leucosolenida; Sycettidae. The record is from RefSeq and is a predicted model, not a curated record.
ACAGGUUGUGCCCGCCGUCAGAUUUGCUAAUAACCAGGUCAACCGGUUAAUGAAGAGGCCAUCCAGUAUGGCUAUCUCCUGCCGUUUCAUUUUUGUUCUUGUUAUGGCGUGGAUUGCCGUGCAGCUCGCAUCAGGACAAAGAAGAUACUGUACGCUUACUCCGUACCUGGGACGGGUUACGAAUGGACGCAAAAUCCUGGGGAAGGAACAUAACCCCUCUCCACAAGAUGGCCUGGCACGCGCCUGGUACCCGUUCACAUUGACUGUAUCAUGUAACUUCGGGUAUCACGUGACUGGAAGAGGAGGAGCCGCAAGAAUGGCUGUGAUGCGGUGCAUGGAAGAUGGUACUUGGUUAGGAGACUCUGCUGGUUCCUUGCCAACAUGUUCAGAGAUAUAUUGCACUGUUCCAAGGCACACUCGUCGAUUAUGGUGGACCAACCGUGGAACUACUGUUCUCCACGGAAGAGCAGUGAAUGUACAAUGUGUUCCUGGUUACUACAUAACCGGUCAAUCACAAUCUACCACGCAGAAGCGUAUCACUUGUGGAAAUGGCGGUCAAUGGACACCAUCUGUGCCAUCUU